CAAUUAAGGAAUGGACAGGGGUAUCCACAGUCCCGAGGAUGCUGGGACGCUUGAGACGCGAGAAUAAAGGACGCGAAGUGUAAUGGCGGCCCGAAGGAAGACGGUUGAAAUGCAUCACGGCGGUUGGACGAACUAAUGGCGCUGGAUGGAUGAGUUCAAAUUUCAACGGACAACGGACGCUUCCAAGUACGUGUUGUAGAACAGAAGAUUAUGGGCAGAGUUUUUUUGAUGAUUUCGUUGCACUGCAUAAAUGAUUGGGCGUUUUCUCAACAUUUGGAGGGACGAGAGUUAUUGGGAGGAGAGUGUUGGAGUAUGCCAGUGUUCCGAAGACGAGCAACUGAUCUCGUAAUGAGUGCCUCAAAUAUUUUUUUUGGGGUUACGCAAUGUCGUGAGAGGGUGAUACGUCUGUCCAGGUUGCUGAGAAAAUUCAAGUGAAGUCCGGCGUCCUGAGCAGCAGGAGAACGACAGGGUCCGUGAGUCGCUUCACGGUCGAACGUGAAUAUUCCGGUGGUCGUUGACCCCUCUGGGACGGUCUUUGGCGCCAAACUAUACGACUCCACACUCCAUAAUACCUGAGCCUGCAUUAACCGCGCAAUUAAACGUGCCCAGUUAAUUGUGCACUCUUGACACACCCCUCGAUUACUCGACAAUAGUCUCGACAAUUGUUCACAUUACCGGUGUUAUCUCGUGUGAAAUCGAGUAUUCAUGGGAUAGGACUCGUCUUGUCCUGAAGCUGGUCUACCUUUGCCCUUUUGUAUCGGUGAUUUUUUUGGGAACAUCGACAAUCGAUUUAUUGGGAUGAGGAGAGGAAGUGUCAUCGAGUGAUGAAUAAUUCAAUUGUAAUUAACUGUGCAGUUGUGGAGGAGCUCCUCAGUCUAUUGGGGUAUAACAAUGCCGGAAACAUCAAACCGAAGGAACAUCCAAUCGAUUUUAAACGCUAUGUACUUCGACAGCGUGACGUGGCAGCGGACUAUUGGCUGGAACAGCCCGCGGAACUGCUGUGACGUACAAAGCCCGUAAUAUCACUGUCUCUCUCUUUUCAUUUCCGUUUGCAUUGUGCCGGCUUUUUCCUCUUUCGUUCUCCUAUAUUUUCACAUUCUUCCGGGUUCAGUUUUUUCCAUUGUCCAUUAUCAAUGCAAAAAUCAUUUUAUCUAGUUAUUUUUUGGGGAGAACAUAGAGAACAAUUGAUGACAAUUCGUACAGUUUAAAAAGAUAGUCAGUCUUUUGGAUAUAAAAACCAUUAUUUUUAAUGCUAGAAUCCGAUGAAUUUCAACAACUAUUUGAGUAAAUUUAAUGAUGAUAGAAUUCCAAACGUCCUCAAUCGACUGUCUGGACAAUGGAUCAAUAUUUCACGUCGCAUAAAAUUGGAAAAUAUGGUCUAAAGUUUAAUACAAAAUAAAAUAUCGUUGACUUGG
Molecule: long non-coding RNA, 1415 nt
Organism: Diachasmimorpha longicaudata
Lineage: Eukaryota; Metazoa; Arthropoda; Insecta; Hymenoptera; Braconidae
Exons: 4
Source: RefSeq, a predicted model, not a curated record